This 218-nucleotide ribosomal RNA is filed under the name uncultured bacterium. RNAcentral describes it as "partial 16S ribosomal RNA". It matches the Rfam family "Bacterial small subunit ribosomal RNA", at positions 1284 to 1500 of the family's 1533-position model. The record is from RNAcentral.
GGUCUCAGUUCGGAUCGCAGUCUGCAACUCGACUGCGUGAAGGUGGAGUCGCUAGUAAUCGCGGAUCAGCAACGCCGCGGUGAAUACGUUCCCGGGCCUUGUACACACCGCCCGUCACACCAUGGGAGCCGGUAAUACCCGAAGCCAGUAGUCUAACCGCAAGGGGGACGCUGUCGAAGGUAGGAUUGGCGACUGGGGUGAAGUCGUAACAAGGUAUC